This is a non-coding RNA of Epinephelus fuscoguttatus (brown-marbled grouper), 388 nucleotides long. NCBI's taxonomy places the organism in Eukaryota, Metazoa, Chordata, Actinopteri, Perciformes, Serranidae. The record is from the annotation of a RefSeq genome assembly.
AGUUUUUUAAGGCACAUGGUCUACUGUGUUGAUGCUCAGACUCUCACUGAGUCUGAACCUGUGAUCAGAAGGCUUGGAGAAUCUCACAGACUGACCUGUACAGCCGCUGGAUUUGACUUAAGUAGCUAUUGGAUGGCCUGGAUCAGACAGGCUCCUGGAAAAGGACUGGAGUGGAUCGCUCAAAGUAGCAGUGGUGGUAUCAGCAAUUAUUACUCUCAGUCAGUUCAAGGCCGGUUCACCAUCUCCAGAGACAACAGCAGACAGCAGGUGUAUCUGCAGAUGAACAGUCUGAAGACUGAAGAUUCUGCUGUUUAUUAUUGUGCUCGAGAGCCACAGUGACUGGAGUUGGUUGAGCAGCUGUACAAAAACCUACAGUGCACUUCUUCUU